AUGUUCAGAUGUGUCUUUGAGAUGUUGGAGGAACACAAAGUAGAGAAUCACUUUAGUUACAUCAUGAUCAACAUGUCGCGUUAGGAUAUCUUUUAUCUUUGAAAGUAUAAUGUGUUACCUAACUACAAGGUGAUCUUCGUCUCUAUUAGCUUUAUGAUAAAAAACUAAUGUUAUAAUUAGAGUCAAAUGUUAUCAUUAAAUGCAUAUAGAUAGGACUGUACUUGUGUUGGACUCUAGGCUUAACCUAUGUAUAUAUAUGCUAGCAUUAGGAUCUCAUAUUAUAAUAAGUAUUAUUUUAGGAUGACCAUCUGAUUGGUGUGGCUACGUCGAGCGCCCGCUACAUGACUGCAACAUUCUAGUGGCCGAUGUUGUUGACUUUAGUCAAAUCACGAUUGGAGUAGUUUCCCAAUCGGAGCUUGGGACGAUAGGGCUCAAAACCCUCACGCGCGAGGUGAUGGGCAUGCUCAUCGACACACCCAAGCAUGUGACGCUUGGCAGGUGGGCAAGACGUCUGUUAGCCUCCACAAGUCUGGUAUGCCGUCGUUGAUGUCUAUGGGUUAUACAAGGUUGGUUGUCUGUUGUUCACGAUGGAGCGCACACACCGCCGAUAGAAGGAUGUUGUCAUCUAUUUUCCUGCGGUUGUUGUUAGAGCAUCUCAAAUAGAAGUCCUAAACAGAGUUGUAUUUUGAAAUAUAGUACUUUAACAAAAAAACUUCUUCAAUAGGGAUACUAUUUUACAAAAAAAUUAAAUAAUUACAAGACUCGGCCUCUCAGGUCCUAAAUAUAGGACUUCAUAUGCUGAAGCCUUACUCUCGCUUUUUACACUAUUCCUACUCUUUUAUCUCUUAAAUAACAUGAUUUAUUUCGGUAUACGACUCAACUAUUAGAGCUGUCCCUACUUACUUAACAUCAAGUUUCGUUUUAAUUUUUAGAACUCAAAUAUAGGACUUCUUGUUGGAGAUGCUCUAAGGAGAUCGAGGAUGAUCCCGUCUACGGUGGCAAGCAGUACUACAAUUAAGUAAUAAUGGAGGGCGGCCUGGUGUUGACAGCCAAACAGCGACAGGAAUACCCUGGCGGAUGGAACCCGUUCGUGUUAUGGCGCGGCGUGCCUCGUGGCGCCAUAGAGCUUCAUUACAAUCAUCUUCUUCGUGUUCUACGCUAUCUUCAUGACACUAUCUAUGGUUGUCUAUAUUUAGAGAGAGAAUAUGGAUGAAGGAGUAUCCUCUAUAUUUAGAGUGUACUCUAGAGGACAUCUUUGAAGUCUAUAGAGGAGAGAAUCUUUUCUAUAUUUAUAGCUAGUAGAUGAACAUAUAGAGUUAGUCGUUGAAGACAACCUGAGAUACUACUUUAGCUUUGCUUUAGUCAAAAACAAAUUACAUGUCAAUUUUACACAUCUUUAUCAUUUCUAGAAUUGACUGUUUUUAGAGGCAAUCGAUAAUGGUAGGAACGUCGAGUGUCUUUGGAACGGAA
This 1470-nucleotide long non-coding RNA is filed under the name Zea mays. RNAcentral's name for it is "long non-coding RNA (ZMAY_LNC004574)". The record is from RNAcentral. Lineage: Eukaryota; Viridiplantae; Streptophyta; Magnoliopsida; Poales; Poaceae.